CCUACGGGGGGCAGCAGUGAGGAAUAUUGGUCAAUGGGCGCAAGCCUGAACCAGCCAUCCCGCGUGCAGGAAGACGGCGCUAUGCGUUGUAAACUGCUUUUCCAGGGGAAGAAAACCUUCGACGUGUCGAAGCUUGCCGGUACCUUGGGAAUAAGCAUCGGCUAACUCCGUGCCAGCAGCCGCGGUAAUACGGAGGAUGCGAGCGUUAUCCGGAUUUAUUGGGUUUAAAGGGUGCGUAGGCGGAUUGAUAAGUCAGCGGUGAAAACCUUCAGCUUAACUGGAGAAUUGCCAUUGAUACUGUCAGUCUUGAGUACGGUCAAGGUAGGCGGAAUGUGUAAUGUAGCGGUGAAAUGCUUAGAUAUUACACAGAACACCAAUUGCGAAGGCAGCUUACUGGACCAAUACUGACGCUGAGGCACGAAAGCGUGGGGAGCGAACAGGAUUAGAUACCCGAGUAGUC
RNAcentral lists this ribosomal RNA (460 nucleotides) under uncultured Bacteroidota bacterium. Its description in RNAcentral is "bacterial SSU rRNA". It matches the Rfam family "Bacterial small subunit ribosomal RNA", at positions 338 to 795 of the family's 1533-position model. The record is from RNAcentral. Lineage: Bacteria; Pseudomonadati; Bacteroidota.